AUUGAACGCUGGCGGCAGGCCUAACACAUGCAAGUCGAGCGGAUGAAGGGAGCUUGCUCCUGGAUUCAGCGGCGGACGGGUGAGUAAUGCCUAGGAAUCUGCCUGGUAGUGGGGGAUAACGUCCGGAAACGGGCGCUAAUACCGCAUACUUCCUGAGGGAGCAAGCGGGGGAGCUUCGGACAUCACGCUAUCAGAUGAGCCUAGGUCGGAUUAGCUAGUUGGUGGGGUAAAGGCCUACCAAGGCGACGAUCCGUAACUGGUCUGAGAGGAUGAUCAGUCACACUGGAACUGAGACACGGUCCAGACUCCUACGGGAGGCAGCAGUGGGGAAUAUUGGGCAAUGGGCGAAAGCCUGAUCCAGCCAUGCCGCGUGUGUGAAGAAGGUCUUCGGAUUGUAAAGCACUUUAAGUUGGGAGGAAGGGCAGUAAGUUAAUACCUUGCUGUUUUGACGUUACCAACAGAAUAAGCACCGGCUAACUUCGUG
Molecule: ribosomal RNA, 484 nt
Filed under: uncultured bacterium
Lineage: Bacteria
Description: partial 16S ribosomal RNA
Rfam family: Bacterial small subunit ribosomal RNA
Source: RNAcentral